Molecule: ribosomal RNA, 444 nt
Filed under: uncultured bacterium
Lineage: Bacteria
Description: SSU rRNA
Rfam family: Bacterial small subunit ribosomal RNA
Source: RNAcentral
AGAGCGAACGCUGGCGGCAGGCCUAAUACAUGCAAGUCGAACGGAUCCUUCGGGAUUAGUGGCGGACGGGUGAGUAACACGUGGGAACGUACCCUUUGGUUCGGAACAACUCAGGGAAACUUGAGCUAAUACCGAAUGUGCCCUUCGGGGAAAAGAUUUAUCGCCAUUGGAGCGGCCCGCGUCUGAUUAGCUAGUUGGUAGGGUAAAGGCCUACCAAGGCUACGAUCAGUAGCUGGUCUGAGAGGAUGAUCAGCCACACUGGGACUGAGACACGGCCCAGACUCCUACGGGAGGCAGCAGUAGGGAAUCUUGCGCAAUGGGCGAAAGCCUGACGCAGCCAUGCCGCGUGAAUGAUGAAGGUCUUAGGAUUGUAAAAUUCUUUCAGCGGGGACGAUAAUGACGGUACCGCAGAAGAAGCCCCGGCUAACUUCGUGCCAGCAGCCG